UGGGGAAUAUUGCACAAUGGGCGCAAGCCUGAUGCAGCCAUGCCGCGUGUAUGAAGAAGGCCUUCGGGUUGUAAAGUACUUUCAGCGGGGAGGAAGGUGUUGAGGUUAAUAACCUCAGCAAUUGACGUUACCCGCAGAAGAAGCACCGGCUAACUCCGUGCCAGCAGCCGCGGUAAUACGGAGGGUGCAAGCGUUAAUCGGAAUUACUGGGCGUAAAGCGCACGCAGGCGGUCUGUCCAGUCGGAUGUGAAAUCCCCGGGCUCAACCUGGGAACUGCAUUCGAAACUGGCAGGCUAGAGUCUUGUAGAGGGGGGUAGAAUUCCAGGUGUAGCGGUGAAAUGCGUAGAGAUCUGGAGGAAUACCGGUGGCGAAGGCGGCCCCCUGGACAAAGACUGACGCUCAGGUGCGAAAGCGUGGGGAGCAAACA
This 427-nucleotide ribosomal RNA is filed under the name uncultured bacterium. RNAcentral describes it as "partial 16S ribosomal RNA". It matches the Rfam family "Bacterial small subunit ribosomal RNA", at positions 355 to 774 of the family's 1533-position model. The record is from RNAcentral.